UACGGAGGGUGCGAGCGUUAAUCGGAAUUACUGGGCGUAAAGAGUGCGUAGGUGGUUGUAUAAGUUAUCUGUGAAAUCCCUGGGCUCAACCUGGGCAGGUCAGAUAAUACUGUAUGACUCGAGUAUGGGAGAGGGUAGUGGAAUUUCCGGUGUAGCGGUGAAAUGCGUAGAGAUCGGAAGGAACACCAGUGGCGAAGGCGGCUACCUGGCCUAAUACUGACACUGAGGCACGAAAGCGUGGGGAGCAAACAGGAUUAGAUACCCUGGUAGUCCACGCUGUAAACGAUGUCAACUAGCUGUUGGUUAUAUAAAAAUAAUUAGUGGCGCAGCAAACGCGAUAAGUUGACCGCCUGGGGAGUACGGUCGCAAGAUUAAA
RNAcentral lists this ribosomal RNA (376 nucleotides) under uncultured bacterium. Its description in RNAcentral is "bacterial SSU rRNA". It matches the Rfam family "Bacterial small subunit ribosomal RNA", at positions 524 to 898 of the family's 1533-position model. The record is from RNAcentral.